This 1460-nucleotide ribosomal RNA is filed under the name uncultured organism. Its description in RNAcentral is "SSU rRNA". It matches the Rfam family "Bacterial small subunit ribosomal RNA". The record is from RNAcentral.
AACGCUGGCGGCAGGCCUAACACAUGCAAGUCGAGCGGUAGCACAGAGAGCUUGCUCUCGGGUGACGAGCGGCGGACGGGUGAGUAAUGUCUGGGAAACUGCCUGAUGGAGGGGGAUAACUACUGGAAACGGUAGCUAAUACCGCAUAACGUCGCAAGACCAAAGUGGGGGACCUUCGGGCCUCAUGCCAUCAGAUGUGCCCAGAUGGGAUUAGCUAGUAGGUGAGGUAACGGCUCACCUAGGCGACGAUCCCUAGCUGGUCUGAGAGGAUGACCAGCCACACUGGAACUGAGACACGGUCCAGACUCCUACGGGAGGCAGCAGUGGGGAAUAUUGCACAAUGGGCGCAAGCCUGAUGCAGCCAUGCCGCGUGUAUGAAGAAGGCCUUCGGGUUGUAAAGUACUUUCAGCGGGGAGGAAGGCGAUAAGGUUAAUAACCUUGUCGAUUGACGUUACCCGCAGAAGAAGCACCGGCUAACUCCGUGCCAGCAGCCGCGGUAAUACGGAGGGUGCAAGCGUUAAUCGGAAUUACUGGGCGUAAAGCGCACGCAGGCGGUCUGUCAAGUCGGAUGUGAAAUCCCCGGGCUCAACCUGGGAACUGCAUUCGAAACUGGCAGGCUAGAGUCUUGUAGAGGGGGGUAGAAUUCCAGGUGUAGCGGUGAAAUGCGUAGAGAUCUGGAGGAAUACCGGUGGCGAAGGCGGCCCCCUGGACAAAGACUGACGCUCAGGUGCGAAAGCGUGGGGAGCAAACAGGAUUAGAUACCCUGGUAGUCCACGCCGUAAACGAUGUCGAUUUGGAGGUUGUGCCCUUGAGGCGUGGCUUCCGGAGCUAACGCGUUAAAUCGACCGCCUGGGGAGUACGGCCGCAAGGUUAAAACUCAAAUGAAUUGACGGGGGCCCGCACAAGCGGUGGAGCAUGUGGUUUAAUUCGAUGCAACGCGAAGAACCUUACCUGGUCUUGACAUCCACAGAACUUAGCAGAGAUGCUUUGGUGCCUUCGGGAACUGUGAGACAGGUGCUGCAUGGCUGUCGUCAGCUCGUGUUGUGAAAUGUUGGGUUAAGUCCCGCAACGAGCGCAACCCUUAUCCUUUGUUGCCAGCGGUUAGGCCGGGAACUCAAAGGAGACUGCCAGUGAUAAACUGGAGGAAGGUGGGGAUGACGUCAAGUCAUCAUGGCCCUUACGACCAGGGCUACACACGUGCUACAAUGGCGCAUACAAAGAGAAGCGACCUCGCGAGAGCAAGCGGACCUCAUAAAGUGCGUCGUAGUCCGGAUUGGAGUCUGCAACUCGACUCCAUGAAGUCGGAAUCGCUAGUAAUCGUAGAUCAGAAUGCUACGGUGAAUACGUUCCCGGGCCUUGUACACACCGCCCGUCACACCAUGGGAGUGGGUUGCAAAAGAAGUAGGUAGCUUAACCUUCGGGAGGGCGCUUACCACUUUGUGAUUCAUGACUGGGGUGAA